Molecule: RNA transcript, 2148 nt
Organism: Arachis stenosperma
Lineage: Eukaryota; Viridiplantae; Streptophyta; Magnoliopsida; Fabales; Fabaceae
Exons: 3
Source: RefSeq, a predicted model, not a curated record
AUACGCACCCAUCGUAUCACAACAGGAUCAACAGAAACUUCCCAUUUCUCGUUUACUCUAAUCUCUCUUCAAUGAAUUUCUUUAAAUCCAUUCUCUCCGACGAUCCAGAUCCCCCUGGAUCCGAAUCUGAAUCCGACAAUGCGCCUCACCCGCAAAACGCAACCGAUCCUGAUCCCUCCUCAUCCAACGCCGCCACAGCCACCGCCGACCACAGUCACGGCGUCGAUGGCAGCGGGUGGAUUCGGUUCGGUGGCCUGAUCAAAACCCUAACCUCCAAAUCCGAAUCGAUAAUCGAGACGUACCGCCGGGACCUCCAAGAAUUCGGCACGGGACUCAAGAAGGAGAUCGAGGUCGCCCAUGGCUCCCUCGAGACGGUGGGCCAGGCCAUCGAUCAGUUGGGAUCUACUGUUGUCAAAGGAACGGCCCAGAUCAUCUCCCAAGGUAAGGAAGCAAUUCUGGCCGCCGAUCUCGAUUCCGAUAACAAUAGCAACAAAAGCACUAAAAGCCCUAGCAAAGAUGGUAGUAGCUCGAAUUUGAAAGGGUAUAGUAGGUUUGAAGCUCAGAUUCGUGCUAUUCAGGGUGAUGCUAGCACUUACACUGAUGAGCCUGAGGAUUUGGAAGAGUAUGGAAAAUGGAAAUCAGGGUUUUCGUUGGAAGGGAAGGCUAAGGAAUUGGAGGGUUUGCUUAGUGAGAAUGAGGCUAUGGAGAGUGUUUACAAGAGGCUUGUUCCGAAUAGCGUGGAUAACGAGAGUUUCUGGUUAAGGUAUUUCUAUAAGGUAUAUAAGCUGAAGAAAGCUGAGGAUGUGAGGGCUAGACUUGUGACGACAAUGUCAAGGGAAGAGGAGGAUUUGAGUUGGGAUGUAACAGAUGUUGAAGAUGAUGAUGAUGAUGAUGAUGAUGAUGAGGAGGAGGAGGAGGAGGAGGAGGAGGGAGAAGAGAAUGUGGGUCAUGGUAAAUCAAAGGGUGUGAUUGAUAAGGAGGUUAGUGGUGAAACUUUGGCAAUUGAGGAGAAUUCUGAGUUGCAAGGUGGUAAAUUUGGUGAAAAGGGUGUGGUCGAAACAAAGAGAUUGAGUGUGGAAGUGGAGGGAAAUAGUUCAUUGCAAAGUGAAAGUAAGGAACAUGGCAAUGUUUCUGUUGGGGAAACUAAAGUUGAGAGCUCAGUGAUUGCUCAAAAGGCGGAUGAUGGAAGCAACUCAUGCAAGGAAGUCGUGAAGGAAGUGAUUGAAUCUGGGAAGAAUAGUGAUUAUGCAGCUGGUUCUGAUGAGAAAGUGAUAGUGGAAACAAAAGUUGAUGAUGGAAAACCUUCGGUGGUUGAGGCAAGUAAGAGCCCGGCACACCAGGAUGAGGAGGAUCUCAGUUGGGAUGAGAUUGAGGAUCUCAGUAGUAUUGAUGAAAAGAAGACAAGUCCGCCUCGGAGUGGAAGCCCAAGCAAAGUUGAUGUGCGGAAGCGACUGAGUGUUGCAGAGGAAGAAGAAGACUUGAGUUGGGACAUUGAAGAUGAUGAUGAUGAUGCUGUUAAGUCUUGAGACACUUGAUGCUCACUGAUCUGAGUUCUGGUGAGAGGCAUAAUUAUCAGCAAUCGGGCUCCUUUGUACAACAAAUGGACAUCCUCCACUGUUCCAAGAAGUUGACUCUCCCAUAUUUGAAUUGGUUGGCGAUGAUAUUGCCAUAAGGCGUCCCUUUUGUGCUCGAGGUGGGAGGUGCCUUGCAGGUUUCCUGGAUGUUACCUUCCAAGGCAAGAAAACCCCAGUCCCAGCGCCACCAGGAAGUUUGCCAGGGUUCAUUGCCAUAGGGUGUACAGGGUUUGUAUGACCAUUGGAGCAUGAAGUAUUCCCCAUUUGGGCAUCAUGUCCAUAGUCUCAUAGCUGCUUACAGCUCCAUUUGGCACAACUUAUGGGCUAGCAAUGCCGGGAUGCCAAAGAGUCAUUGCGUUUGUCACGGUCGGAGUUAGUGACUGGCAUUGAUUGGAGUCUGACCUCACUCUGAAGAAGCUGAUGCUAAUCCUUCCGUUCGGUGAUGGACACAUUACGUGUCUUGCAAUGUCUGCACUAUUUCCUCUCAUCACUAAAAGAGACCUGCCAAAGUAAGAUGAAAUACAAGUAAAAACAUUAAUAUUAAUGUUUUGAUCAUCAAAAAUGACAUUUAAUU